GACGAACGCUGGCGGCGUGCUUAACACAUGCAAGUCGAACGGAAAGGCCCUGCUUGCAGGGUACUCGCGUGGCGAACGGGUGAGUAACACGUGGGUGAUCUGCCCUGCACUUCGGGAUAAGCCUGGGAAACUGGGUCUAAUACCGGAUAGGAGCCAUUUUUAGUGUGAUGGUUGGAAAGUUUUUUCGGUGUAGGAUGAGCUCGCGGCCUAUCAGCUUGUUGGUGGGGUAAUGGCCUACCAAGGCGGCGACGGGUAGCCGGCCUGAGAGGGUGGACGGCCACAUUGGGACUGAGAGAAGGCCCAGACACCGACGGGAGGGAGAAGUGGGGAAGAUUGCACGAUGGGCGCAAGCCGGAUGCAGCGACGCCGCGUGGGGGAUGACUGCCUUCGGGUUGUAAACUCAGUUCGCUAGGGACGAAGCUUGUUGUGACGGUACCUAGAUAAGAAGCACCGGCUAACUACGUG
This 465-nucleotide ribosomal RNA is filed under the name uncultured bacterium. RNAcentral describes it as "partial 16S ribosomal RNA". It matches the Rfam family "Bacterial small subunit ribosomal RNA", at positions 28 to 507 of the family's 1533-position model. The record is from RNAcentral.